CCUACGGGAGACAGCAGUGAGGAAUAUUGGUCAAUGGACGAGAGUCUGAACCAGCCAAGUAGCGUGAAGGAUGACUGCCCUAUGGGUUGUAAACUUCUUUUAUAUGGGAAUAAAAUGUUCCACGUGUGGGAUUUUGUAUGUACCAUAUGAAUAAGGAUCGGCUAACUCCGUGCCAGCAGCCGCGGUAAUACGGAGGAUCCGAGCGUUAUCCGGAUUUAUUGGGUUUAAAGGGAGCGUAGGUGGAUUGUUAAGUCAGUUGCGAAAGUUUGCGGCUCAACCGUAAAAUGGCAGUUGAAACUGGCAGUCUUGAGUACAGUAGAGGUGGGCGGAAUUCGUGGUGUAGCGGUGAAAUGCUUAGAUAUCACGAAGAACUCCGAUUGCGAAGGCAGCUCACUGGACUGCAACUGACACUGAGGCUCGAAAGUGUGGGUAUCAAACAGGAUUAGAUACCCGGGUAGUC
RNAcentral lists this ribosomal RNA (460 nucleotides) under uncultured bacterium. RNAcentral describes it as "partial 16S ribosomal RNA". It matches the Rfam family "Bacterial small subunit ribosomal RNA", at positions 338 to 795 of the family's 1533-position model. The record is from RNAcentral.